Unclassified non-coding RNA from Cavia porcellus (domestic guinea pig), 322 nucleotides. Its record names the gene 7SK. It matches the Rfam family "7SK RNA". From Rfam's summary of the family: 7SK was discovered as an abundant small nuclear RNA in the mid-70s but a possible function has only recently been suggested. Two independent studies have found that 7SK RNA binds the CDK9/cyclin T complex (known as elongation factor P-TEFb). P-TEFb activates transcription by phosphorylating the C-terminal domain of RNA polymerase II. The record is from Ensembl. NCBI's taxonomy places the organism in Eukaryota, Metazoa, Chordata, Mammalia, Rodentia, Caviidae.
GAUGAGGGUACCCACUGCAGCAUCUGUCACCCCACUAAUGGCCAAGGUUGAUUAGGCUGACCUGGCUGGUUUGGUGGAUGUCCCCUCCCUCCCCCACCCCAACACUUAAGUCCCUUGGGAAGGGAGGAAGCUCAUGUGUGCAAAGCUGCCUGCUCACCCAAGCAGCUACCCAUGAAAGAGGAGGACCAUUUUUUCCGGCAAGAGUAUACUAGUAGUUGCACUCCCCUGUUGAAACCUCCAAAAAAGCUCCUACACAAUAGGCCUCUAAAAGAUAAGUAUAAAAACUGAGGCAAUAAAGGAGACCUAGGCUCUCUCAGAUUUU